AUUGAACGCUGGCGGAAUGCUUUACACAUGCAAGUCGAGCGGCAGCGCGGGGGCAACCCUGGCGGCGAGCGGCGAACGGGUGAGUAAUACAUCGGAACGUGUCCUUGAGUGGGGGAUAGCUCGGCGAAAGCCGGAUUAAUACCGCAUAAGCUCUGAGGAGGAAAGCGGGGGAUUCGCAAGGACCUCGCGCUGUUGGAGCGGCCGAUGUCGGAUUAGCUAGUGGUGGGGUAAAGGCCCACCAAGGCGACGAUCCGUAGCUGGUCUGAGAGGAUGAUCAGCCACACUGGAACUGAGACACGGUCCAGACUCCUACGGGAGGCAGCAGUGGGAAUUUUGGACAAUGGGGCAACCCUGAUCCAGCCAUUCCGCGUGAGUGAAGAAGGCCUGGUUGUAAG
Molecule: ribosomal RNA, 395 nt
Filed under: uncultured bacterium
Lineage: Bacteria
Description: bacterial SSU rRNA
Rfam family: Bacterial small subunit ribosomal RNA
Source: RNAcentral